RNAcentral lists this ribosomal RNA (2923 nucleotides) under Klebsiella pneumoniae. RNAcentral describes it as "bacterial LSU rRNA". It matches the Rfam family "Bacterial large subunit ribosomal RNA". Lineage: Bacteria; Pseudomonadati; Pseudomonadota; Gammaproteobacteria; Enterobacterales; Enterobacteriaceae. The record is from RNAcentral.
GGGUUGUGAGGUUAAGCGACUAAGCGUACACGGUGGAUGCCCUGGCAGUCAGAGGCGAUGAAGGACGUGCUAAUCUGCGAAAAGCGUCGGUAAGGUGAUAUGAACCGUUAUAGCCGGCGAUGUCCGAAUGGGGAAACCCAGUGCAAUUCGUUGCACUAUCGUUAACUGAAUACAUAGGUUAACGAGGCGAACCGGGGGAACUGAAACAUCUAAGUACCCCGAGGAAAAGAAAUCAACCGAGAUUCCCCCAGUAGCGGCGAGCGAACGGGGAGCAGCCCAGAGUCUGAAUCAGCUUGUGUGUUAGUGGAACGGUCUGGAAAGUCCGACGGUACAGGGUGAUAGUCCCGUACACCAAAAUGCACAGGUUGUGAACUCGAAGAGUAGGGCGGGACACGUGGUAUCCUGUCUGAAUAUGGGGGGACCAUCCUCCAAGGCUAAAUACUCCUGACUGACCGAUAGUGAACCAGUACCGUGAGGGAAAGGCGAAAAGAACCCCGGCGAGGGGAGUGAAAAAGAACCUGAAACCGUGUACGUACAAGCAGUGGGAGCACCUUCGGGUGUGACUGCGUACCUUUUGUAUAAUGGGUCAGCGACUUAUAUUCUGUAGCAAGGUUAACCGUAUAGGGGAGCCGCAGGGAAACCGAGUCUUAACUGGGCGUUAAGUUGCAGGGUAUAGACCCGAAACCCGGUGAUCUAGCCAUGGGCAGGUUGAAGGUUGGGUAACACUAACUGGAGGACCGAACCGACUAAUGUUGAAAAAUUAGCGGAUGACUUGUGGCUGGGGGUGAAAGGCCAAUCAAACCGGGAGAUAGCUGGUUCUCCCCGAAAGCUAUUUAGGUAGCGCCUCGUGAAUUCAUCUUCGGGGGUAGAGCACUGUUUCGGCUAGGGGGUCAUCCCGACUUACCAACCCGAUGCAAACUACGAAUACCGAAGAAUGUUAUCACGGGAGACACACGGCGGGUGCUAACGUCCGUCGUGAAGAGGGAAACAACCCAGACCGCCAGCUAAGGUCCCAAAGUCAUGGUUAAGUGGGAAACGAUGUGGGAAGGCACAGACAGCCAGGAUGUUGGCUUAGAAGCAGCCAUCAUUUAAAGAAAGCGUAAUAGCUCACUGGUCGAGUCGGCCUGCGCGGAAGAUGUAACGGGGCUAAACCAUGCACCGAAGCUGCGGCAGCGACACUAUGUGUUGUUGGGUAGGGGAGCGUUCUGUAAGCCUGCGAAGGUGUGCUGUGAGGCAUGCUGGAGGUAUCAGAAGUGCGAAUGCUGACAUAAGUAACGAUAAAGCGGGUGAAAAGCCCGCUCGCCGGAAGACCAAGGGUUCCUGUCCAACGUUAAUCGGGGCAGGGUGAGUCGACCCCUAAGGCGAGGCCGAAAGGCGUAGUCGAUGGGAAACAGGUUAAUAUUCCUGUACUUGGUGUUACUGCGAAGGGGGGACGGAGAAGGCUAUGUUAGCCGGGCGACGGUUGUCCCGGUUUAAGCAUGUAGGCUGGUUGUCCAGGCAAAUCCGGAUAAUCAAGGCUGAGGUGUGAUGACGAGGCACUACGGUGCUGAAGUAACAAAUGCCCUGCUUCCAGGAAAAGCCUCUAAGCAUCAGGUAACAUUAAAUCGUACCCCAAACCGACACAGGUGGUCAGGUAGAGAAUACCAAGGCGCUUGAGAGAACUCGGGUGAAGGAACUAGGCAAAAUGGUGCCGUAACUUCGGGAGAAGGCACGCUGGUGUGUAGGUGAAGUCCCUGCGGAUGGAGCUGAGACCAGUCGAAGAUACCAGCUGGCUGCAACUGUUUAUUAAAAACACAGCACUGUGCAAACACGAAAGUGGACGUAUACGGUGUGACGCCUGCCCGGUGCCGGAAGGUUAAUUGAUGGGGUUAUCCGUAAGGAGAAGCUCUUGAUCGAAGCCCCGGUAAACGGCGGCCGUAACUAUAACGGUCCUAAGGUAGCGAAAUUCCUUGUCGGGUAAGUUCCGACCUGCACGAAUGGCGUAAUGAUGGCCAGGCUGUCUCCACCCGAGACUCAGUGAAAUUGAACUCGCUGUGAAGAUGCAGUGUACCCGCGGCAAGACGGAAAGACCCCGUGAACCUUUACUAUAGCUUGACACUGAACAUUGAGCCUUGAUGUGUAGGAUAGGUGGGAGGCUUUGAAGCGUGGACGCCAGUCUGCGUGGAGCCAACCUUGAAAUACCACCCUUUAAUGUUUGAUGUUCUAACGUUGGCCCCUUACCGGGGUUGCGGACAGUGUCUGGUGGGUAGUUUGACUGGGGCGGUCUCCUCCCAAAGCGUAACGGAGGAGCACGAAGGUUAGCUAAUCCUGGUCGGACAUCAGGAGGUUAGUGCAAUGGCAUAAGCUAGCUUGACUGCGAGCGUGACGGCGCGAGCAGGUGCGAAAGCAGGUCAUAGUGAUCCGGUGGUUCUGAAUGGAAGGGCCAUCGCUCAACGGAUAAAAGGUACUCCGGGGAUAACAGGCUGAUACCGCCCAAGAGUUCAUAUCGACGGCGGUGUUUGGCACCUCGAUGUCGGCUCAUCACAUCCUGGGGCUGAAGUAGGUCCCAAGGGUAUGGCUGUUCGCCAUUUAAAGUGGUACGCGAGCUGGGUUUAGAACGUCGUGAGACAGUUCGGUCCCUAUCUGCCGUGGGCGCUGGAGAAUUGAGGGGGGCUGCUCCUAGUACGAGAGGACCGGAGUGGACGCAUCACUGGUGUUCGGGUUGUCAUGCCAAUGGCACUGCCCGGUAGCUAAAUGCGGAAGAGAUAAGUGCUGAAAGCAUCUAAGCACGAAACUUGCCCCGAGAUGAGUUCUCCCUGAGACUUUAAGUCUCCUGAAGGAACGUUGAAGACGACGACGUUGAUAGGCCGGGUGUGUAAGCGCAGCGAUGCGUUGAGCUAACCGGUACUAAUGAACCGUGAGGCUUAACCUUACAACGCCGAAG